AGUUCUAACAUCAUGUCUACCACUAAAAUCCUAUGAAAAUUUGGAAAAGUCACUUUACUUGGAGGGCCUUAUUUACCUUCUCUGUAACGUGAGAAAUUCAGGCUAAUUGCUUUCCAAGGGCCUUCUGGCCUUGGCAGGUAUUACUGCAUAAUUUUUCAGGUCUCUGGGCUCAUAAUUAGCAUUUAUGAAGUGUUUACUAUGUGCCAGGACCCUGUGAGCACUUUACCUGGAUGAUGUCCUUUCAUACCAAUAGUGGCAGUCGUUCCCACAGACAGUUCAUUUUACAGAAGGAAAAACUGAGGUGCAGGGAAGUGGGAGGAUGCACUGAAGGCCCUUCCUUCAAGAGUUGCCUCAAGGAGAGAGUAAAGCCAUCAGAGCAAAUGAAGAAGGAGUGGAUGGAUGGAUAAAUACCUAGGCAGAAAGUACAUAUGCAAGAAAACUGGGGAAAUGCAUGCCAGACUGCUCACAGUGGAACACAAGGAGAGAACAGUAGGUUGAUUGUGGGAAAAGAAGAGCUUCGCUUUUCUUGUUCAAUGCACUUCUUGUUUACUAAAUUAUUUAAAUAAUGUGUAUAUAUUCCUAAUUAAAAGACA
This 593-nucleotide long non-coding RNA is filed under the name Chinchilla lanigera (long-tailed chinchilla). RNAcentral describes it as "lncRNA (ENSCLAG00000026873.1)". The record is from RNAcentral. Lineage: Eukaryota; Metazoa; Chordata; Mammalia; Rodentia; Chinchillidae.